Molecule: ribosomal RNA, 460 nt
Filed under: uncultured bacterium
Lineage: Bacteria
Description: partial 16S ribosomal RNA
Rfam family: Bacterial small subunit ribosomal RNA
Source: RNAcentral
CCUACGGGAGGCAGCAGUGAGGAAUAUUGGUCAAUGGGCGAGAGCCUGAACCAGCCAAGUCGCGUGAAGGAUGAAGGAUCUAUGGUUUGUAAACUUCUUUUAUAUGGGAAUAAAGUGCGGCACGUGUUCAUUUCUGUAUGUACCAUAUGAAUAAGCAUCGGCUAAUUCCGUGCCAGCAGCCGCGGUAAUACGGAGGAGGCGAGCGUUAUCCGGAUUUAUUGGGCUUAAAGGGUGCGUAGGCGGUGCAUUAAGUCAGCGGUGAAAGUUGCGGGCUCAACCAUACACUUGCAGUUGAAACUGGUUGACUUGAGUAUACUUGAGGUAGGCGGAAUGCGUGGUGUAGCGGUGAAAUGCAUAGAUAUCACGCAGAACCCCGAUUGCGAAGGCAGCUUGCUAGACUAUGACUGACACUGAGGCACGAAGGCGUGGGGAUCAAACAGGAUUAGAUACCCGAGUAGUC